CCUACGGGAGGCAGCAGUGGGGAAUAUUGCGCAAUGGGCGAAAGCCUGACGCAGCGACGCCGCGUGAGGGAUGAAGGUCUUCGGAUCGUAAACCUCUGUUAGCAGGGAAGAACGGUCACUGUGGUAAUCAGCAGUGAAUUGACGGUACCUGCAAAGGAAGCACCGGCUAACUCCGUGCCACCAGCCGCGGUAAUACGGAGGGAGCGAGCGUUAAACGGAAUUACUGGGCGUAAAGCGAUCGUAGGCGGUAUGGCAAGUCAAGGGGGAAAUCUCCGCGCUCAACGUGGGAACUGCCUUUGAAACUGGUGUACUUGAGUGUGUGAGAGGUUAGUGGAAUUCCAGGUGUAGAGGUGAAAUCCGUAGAUAUCUGGAGGAACACCGGUGGCGAAGGCGGCUAUCUGGCACAUAACUGACGCUGAGGAGCGAAAGCGUGGGUAGCAAACAGGAUUAGAUACCCUAGUAGUC
This 465-nucleotide ribosomal RNA is filed under the name uncultured bacterium. Its description in RNAcentral is "partial 16S ribosomal RNA". It matches the Rfam family "Bacterial small subunit ribosomal RNA", at positions 338 to 795 of the family's 1533-position model. The record is from RNAcentral.